UGAAGACACCGGCCGGCACACA
This 22-nucleotide unclassified non-coding RNA is filed under the name Mus musculus (house mouse). RNAcentral describes it as "oocyte_clustered_small_RNA4849". The record is from RNAcentral. Lineage: Eukaryota; Metazoa; Chordata; Mammalia; Rodentia; Muridae.